CUGCACUCAAUGCUGGUUACAGGUGUGGAUGAAGUGUGAGCUCUCUGCUUCCUGACUAUGAGGCUGCCUCAUGCUCCCGCUGCCAGGCCUUCCUCUAGCGUGAUGGACUCUAUCCCUCUGAAACUUUACCAAAGCCGCACCACCUCCUGGAUUCUCAGCCUCAGAGACGGACAGUUGGCAGCCGGUGGAAUGGAGGCUUUCGGCGGCAGAAUCGUGGCUCUGAGCAGAGAGCAUCAACUCUCGCCUCCUGACACUCUGCCAGUCUGCGGUCAGUACAGCCUGACAUGUCUCACAGACUAUCAUGUUGCUUUGGGAGGGCUUUGGGGGUGUCAGAAAGUAACUUGCAAAGGCAGGCGCAAGCCAGGCCAUCCUUGUGGGGACCUGGUGUUCCCUCUCUCUAUGCGUUGUCCACUCUUCACUGCCAAUGGCACCGGAUGGAAUUUCGUGGGUAUGACAAAGUUAUGAAAACUGUCUGGCAGUUUCACACCAUUCUCAGGAAGUUCCAACAUGGAGUUACGUCACUGGAGGGGCCUUUCCACCCGGGAUAUGUGGAAGCAGCCUUUCACCCACAGGACUCCUUACAGUGUGGCAUGCAGAGGAACCCCACCAGGACAUGUGGACCAGGAGGUGUGUGUGACCAGGAGGCUGAGCAGAACUUCAAGCAGAGGGAGCUGGCGUCAAAGGGAGCCGCUCGCAGCUCUGCAGCAGCGAACAUGGUAAAGCCCUCCUGGGCCUGGGGCACAGGCUCUGUUGGUGGAAUGCGUGCCUGUCAUUCGUGAAGUCCUGGGUUCCCGAAGCUUCACAGACGGAGUGUGGUGGUGCAGGCCUGUGAGCCCACCCCAGGAGGUGAAGGUAGGAAGAUCAGAAGUUCAAGGCCAGCCUGCACUAGAUUAGUCUCUCUUCCCAAUACAUAAGUGCGCGCAUGGCUGUGUGAGUGUUUGUGUGAGUGUGUGCAUGUGUACCUCUGUGUGUUUGCAUAUGUGCAUGUGAGCAUGUGUGUGUGUGUGUGUGUGUACAUAA
Psammomys obesus (fat sand rat) is the source of this 1020-nucleotide long non-coding RNA. RefSeq lists it as uncharacterized. The transcript is spliced from 3 exons. NCBI's taxonomy places the organism in Eukaryota, Metazoa, Chordata, Mammalia, Rodentia, Muridae. The record is from RefSeq and is a predicted model, not a curated record.